GUGCAGCAGGCGCGAAACCUCCGCAAUGCACGCAAGUGCGACGGGGGGACCCCAAGUGCCACUCUUAACGGGGUGGCUCUUCAGGAGUGUAAAAAGCUCCUGGAAUAAGGGCUGGGCAAGACCGGUGCCAGCCGCCGCGGUAACACCGGCAGCUCGAGUGGUAGCCGCGUUUAUUGGGCCUAAAGCGUCCGUAGCCGGUCCGAUAAGUCUCUGGUGAAAGCCCACAGCUCAACUGUGGGAAUCGCUGGAGAUACUAUCGGACUUGAGGCCGGGAGAGGCUGGAGGUACUCCCAGGGUAGGGGUGAAAUCCUAUAAUCCUGGGAGGACCACCUGUGGCGAAGGCGUCCAGCUGGAACGGACCUGACGGUGAGGGACGAAAGCCAGGGGCGCGAACCGGAUUAGAUACCCUAGUAGUCC
Molecule: ribosomal RNA, 417 nt
Filed under: uncultured Methanothermobacter sp.
Lineage: Archaea; Methanobacteriati; Methanobacteriota; Methanobacteria; Methanobacteriales; Methanobacteriaceae
Description: bacterial SSU rRNA
Rfam family: Archaeal small subunit ribosomal RNA
Source: RNAcentral